RNAcentral lists this ribosomal RNA (274 nucleotides) under uncultured bacterium. RNAcentral's name for it is "partial 16S ribosomal RNA". It matches the Rfam family "Bacterial small subunit ribosomal RNA", at positions 523 to 796 of the family's 1533-position model. The record is from RNAcentral.
AUACGGAGGGUGCAAGCGUUAAUCGGAAUUACUGGGCGUAAAGCGCGCGUAGGCGGAUUAGUAAGUCGGAUGUGAAAGCCCUGGGCUCAACCUGGGAAUUGCAUUCGAUACUGCUUGACUAGAGUAUGGUAGAGGGAAGUGGAAUUUCCGGUGUAGCGGUGAAAUGCGUAGAUAUCGGAAGGAACACCAGUGGCGAAGGCGACUUCCUGGCCCAAUACUGACGCUCAGGUGCGAAAGCGUGGGGAGCAAACAGGAUUAGAAACCCGGGUAGUCC